AAACGAUGCCGACCGGCGAUCCGCCGUCGUUACUUGAAUGACUCGGCGGGCAGCCUCCGGGAAACCAGAGUGUUUGGGUUCCGGGGGAAGUAUGGUUGCAAAGCUGAAACUUAAAGGAAUUGACGGAAGGGCACCACCAGGAGUGGAGCCUGCGGCUUAAUUUGACUCAACACGGGAAAUCUCACCAGGCCCGGACACCGGAAGGAUUGACAGAUUGAGAGCUCUUUCUUGAUUCGGUGGGUGGUGGUGCAUGGCCGUUCUUAGUUGGUGGAGCGAUUUGUCUGGUUAAUUCCGAUAACGAACGAGACUCUGGCCUACUAACUAGACGUAAGAUCUCUUUGUGGGUCUUUCGUAGCUUCUUAGAGGGACGGGCGGCGUUUAGCCGCGCGAGAAUGAGCAAUAACAGGUCUGUGAUGCCCUUAGAUGUUCUGGGCUGCACGCGCGCUACACUGAAGGAAUCAGCGUGUGUACCUUUUCUGAAAAGAAAGGGAAACCCGUUGAACCUCCUUCGUGAUGGGGAUUGGGGAUUGCAAUUAUUCCCCAUGAACGAGGAAUUCCCAGUAGGCGCGAGUCAUAAGCUUGCGUCGAUUACGUCCCUGCCCUUUGUACACACCGCCCGUCGCUACUACCGAUCGAGUGAUUUAAUGAGGACUUCGGAUUGGUCUUCGUGAUGGC
This 675-nucleotide ribosomal RNA is filed under the name uncultured eukaryote. RNAcentral's name for it is "SSU rRNA". It matches the Rfam family "Eukaryotic small subunit ribosomal RNA", at positions 1034 to 1731 of the family's 1831-position model. The record is from RNAcentral.